UACGUAGGGGGCAAGCGUUGUCCGGAAUUAUUGGGCGUAGAGCGCGCGCAGGUGGUCCUUUAAGUCUGAUGUGAAAGCCCACGGCUCAACCGUGGAGGGUCAUUGGAAACUGGGGGACUUGAGUGCAGAAGAGGAAAGUGGAAUUCCAAGUGUAGCGGUGAAAUGCGUAGAGAUUUGGAGGAACACCAGUGGCGAAGGCGUCGUUCGGGUCUGUAAAUGACACUGAGGCGUGAAAGCGUGGGGAGCAAACAGG
Molecule: ribosomal RNA, 253 nt
Filed under: uncultured bacterium
Lineage: Bacteria
Description: partial 16S ribosomal RNA
Rfam family: Bacterial small subunit ribosomal RNA
Source: RNAcentral